Molecule: ribosomal RNA, 217 nt
Filed under: uncultured Acaulospora
Lineage: Eukaryota; Fungi; Glomeromycota; Glomeromycetes; Diversisporales; Acaulosporaceae
Description: partial small subunit ribosomal RNA
Rfam family: Eukaryotic small subunit ribosomal RNA (bases 32-217)
Source: RNAcentral
GGAUUUGUCAGUUGGUCGGCUUCACUGUCCGUAUUGACUUGACGGAUUCUUACCUUCUGAAUAACCAGCAUGCUAUUAAUUUAGUGCGUUGGGGAAGCAGAUCUAUUACCUUGAAAAAAUUAGAGUGCUUAAAGCGUGCUAGUGUUUGAAUAGAUUAGCAUGGAAUAAUAAAAUAGGACGGCAUGGUUCUAUUUUGUUGGUUUCUAGAGUCGCCGUA